Molecule: microRNA, 22 nt
Filed under: Capitella teleta
Lineage: Eukaryota; Metazoa; Annelida; Polychaeta; Capitellidae
Description: cte-miR-1987
Source: miRBase by way of RNAcentral
ACUGCCAGAUGUAAUGUUGUGC